AACGCGAAGAACCUUACCCGCUCUUGACAUGCAAAUUACACCCAUGAGAGAUUAUGGGCUCGGUUCGGCCGGGUUUGCACAGGUGCUGCAUGGCUGUCGUCAGCUCGUGUCGUGAGAUGUUGGGUUAAGUCCCGCAACGAGCGCAACCCUUACUGCUAGUUGCCAUCAGGUUUGGCUGGGCACUUUAGCGGAACUGCCGGUUCUAAGCCGGAGGAAGGUGGGGAUGACGUCAAGUCCUCAUGGCCCUUAUGGGCGGGGCUACACACGUAAUACAAUGGUGGUGACAGAGGGAAGCGAAAGGGUGACCUGGAGCCGAUCCUUAAAAGCCAUCUCAGUUCGGAUUGUUCUCUGCAACUCGAGAGCAUGAAGUUGGAAUCGCUAGUAAUCGUCGAUCAGCACGCGACGGUGAAUACGUUCCCGGGCCUUGUACACACCGCACUACUA
This 444-nucleotide ribosomal RNA is filed under the name uncultured bacterium. Its description in RNAcentral is "bacterial SSU rRNA". It matches the Rfam family "Bacterial small subunit ribosomal RNA", at positions 958 to 1400 of the family's 1533-position model. The record is from RNAcentral.